RNAcentral lists this ribosomal RNA (27 nucleotides) under uncultured Glomus. RNAcentral describes it as "partial 18S ribosomal RNA". Lineage: Eukaryota; Fungi; Glomeromycota; Glomeromycetes; Glomerales; Glomeraceae. The record is from RNAcentral.
UCCGUAGUGACCUGCGGAAGGUCAUUA